CCCAACCCUACAUCGUGUCUAUUGUGUUUUCUCUGUCGUGCUAAUAGGAAGGGAGACGGGUACUCUACAGCUUUUUACGCCUCUAUUGCUGACGUGAGGGAAGGGAGCGGAUCUGGUGAUCCGUGGUAACGUAGUUCUCAACACGUUAUCAGCACGCUCUACCUCGACGUUGCUGCGGCGAGAUCAGAUCUACAUCAACUCUCCGUCAAGCCGGCAGGUCUUUGGCCUAGCCGAACUGUCCUACGCGACAGGCUUCGAUUCUCCCUCUACGCAAUCGAGUGGUAUGUUUUCUUGAUCCGCUGGUGUGAUCUAUGCGACACAAACUUGUUGUCUCCGUUAUGGUGCUGCGUCCGUGCCGGAAGCGCUGCACCCGUGGUAGCUAGCUCUCACCAGAAGAUGAGAUCAAAUCUUAUAGUGGGCAUCGACUUUAACGCGUGGCCGCCCUGCAUGGCGGCGCCCGGAAACGGACACACGGAGCUUCGGCCUCUGCUCCACAAGCUCGUGCGACGCCUCGCCCGCGCACUUCCCCGCGCAGCCGCGCUAGUCCCGCCCGCCGCACGCGAUGGUAGCGCCCUCCGUGACCCGGCGUACCCCUCGCGAUGUCACUCGAGCCGAGUGCAGGCAUCCCGUCGCCGGUUGUCAAACUCGGGAUCAGGAGCAGCGCCGUCCACGCGCAUCCAGUAACAGAUCACGAGAAAAAGGUGCAAGGUUGGUGGAGUGGUGUUUAAGCGCACCAGCUAGGAGGCAUGCACAACCGUCUGACCCGGUCACAUGCAUGCACAAUCGUCUCCAAUGCAUGCACGUGUAAUGAGCGGCGGUAGUUUUGCUUGCAUGCAGCCUAUUGUGGCCACAGAUGCAGUAAAAAGGAGCCGAUGUUGAUCCAGUCAAAGGCAGUUAGCCAAUUUCUAAAGCCCGGUCAAAGUUGCCUGACCGUGCGUUUAUGAACAAAAAAAAGUUACUGGUUUUUUUCGUAAAUACACGCUGAAUCAAUAAACUUUUGUACAUUUUUUUAAUUUAUGUACAUGCUCUAUGUUGUUUAUUUUAUUUAUUUCCUGUAGCAAAUAAUAAAUAGAAUAAACAAUUUUUGCAGUUUCUACUUUAAUUAAUUAUUUCCCGUAGUAAAUAAUUAGUAGAAAAUGCAUGCUUAAAUAUAGAAAAUGUCUUUUACACCUGAUGUGUUAUGUUCAUGUAUUAAUUAUGGUGUUCAUUUUUUCUGUAUUAAUAAUUAUUUCCCGUAGUAAAUAAUUAGCAGAAAAUUAUUAAAAUGCCUGUGAAGGUUAUAUUGUGUAUACUCAAAUCGCUCUAAAUAUUUGUGUUGCGUUGAGCUUUUGGGCUCACGUCGAGCGAUUAAUGAUAUAAUGGGUACUUAGACACGUCGAUCAGAUUACAUUUUUCAUUGGUUGAGCUAUGACAUUGGCUAAGCAUUGGCUGCGCUCUGGCAACACGUCGCAUUAUUUGUGUCAUUAGAACUUAGUUGCGUCAUGUGAUUGCUAUGUUGUACUCUCGCUUAAUCCGACCACUCCUGUUGAGUUGGACCGGCAUCGCCGAGUCAUGUAUUUUUUCGCAUGCCUGUAAGCACUGUUCGUCUGUCGUUAUCACCGAGCCACAAUUGCGUCUGUUGCACACGUUGUGUGGACUUGUCGCGUAUCCCAAUUACCGAGCCACAAUUGCACCUGUUACGCUUGUUAUGGAGGCUUGUUGCGUUGUCGUAGCCCAGAUGGCCACACACGCGUUGACGCCAGAUACGAUAGAGCUUUUACUCGCGUGGAUUGUGGUGGGUCGUUCAAGCCCUAAAGUCACAUUAUGCGCAACCUUCGUAAACAAUUUUGUUUAGCUCUAUAUUUUAUUUGCUUGUGUUGUGUGGCAUCAUAUAUUUAUUUAUAUUGCCAAGUGGCCAUAACAACUAUAUCAAGCUCUAUAGUGCUCGAAUAAUUUGGGAAAUUAAAUUGAAAUACAACAGAACAUGGAUAAGUUAAUUCUCUCCUCUCUCCUCAUGCAUAAAGUUUUACCCGAAGUAACCCGAAGAUAUAUAAUAUAAUGCAUGAAAGCCUUUUUGGCAUAGAAGAUAUCACAAAUUGGGAUUAUAUUAGUAAGCAAAAAGACCUUACCAAAUGAUUUAAGAUCAGAAAUCUCAGUCAUACAUUGCUCAACCAGAUGUUAGCACAUUGCUCUCUUUGUCGCUGGAUGACAUGAAGCAAACUAUGAGAUAAAAGGACAUGUAACUGCUAGCAACAAGAAGUUGCGAGUAUACCGAGAGGUUAUUUUGAGAAAUUUUUCACUAUGUUGGUGUGAAAACCAUAGUGUGUUCCCGUCGAACCACUUUACUCGUUCUAUCUAGGACCUCUAUGCUUGUGUCGCAUACAUCUCUCAGAAUUGUAAAUACUUAUAGUCACUGAAUUGACUCGGGAUAGUCCUUUGACAAGUUUGUUAUACACUGUAAGCUGAAUGGUAAAGGUCGGUCCUGAAUGGACACAUACCUAGGGUUUAUGUAGCCGAAUUACACUGAAUUCCACCCUUUGGCAUGCUUACCAUUAUCUACCUCUGAUCUACCAGAAGUGAGAAGAGUAGACAAAUAACUAUAAAAUUCCACAUCACAACAGAGCUUGAAGCUAAAUUAGACAUUAACAUGUCCUUGGUCCUCGGAGCCAGAAGAGUCAUAUGUCUUGACCACUAGACUACUAGUGAUGAUAAUUUAUGAUAGAAAUAUGAAGAUCUUGUAGAGACCUAUUGUAUCCUCUCUACUCCAGACGAUUUCUUCGUAUGAGAGCAAUACUAUCUAUUGUUGAAGACGGAUCCUAGGCGGAUACCAGUCUUGUUUCGUUCUUGCCAAGCAGUUAUCAUCAUUUGUUUCAUGAAAAGCUAGUUAUAUGGUGAUUUUUCACAGAUAAAAAUGAAUUCUUGGCCUUGUCUGUUCUAUUCCAAAGCUUCUCUUUUUGCCGAACAACGAAGAGAUCGAAAUAAUGCUUUAUAGAACAAAUUGGUAUAUAAUAUGAGGAGAAAUGUUUGCCCUGCUGGCAGCAUCACAAAUUAUUAACUAUUGUUAUAAAUUCUCUCUCAAAAUUAUUAUACCUAAAAAUGUUGCAUUAACCGAUACCCAAUUUCAGAACGGUAUGAGUAAUUGGGUAAACCAUGGGCAAUAAUAAAAUGAGCUGGACUAUACAUCUCUGCAUAUAAAAAUCUCUGCUUGGCAGCAUUGGCCUGAUGCCAUGCACUUUACCACCAUUAUAUACGCACAUAUUCUCCUAUGUGCUUGAAAGCACAAUGUAACCAAUGAAUGUCCUUGUGAGCGCUAGACCCUGAUGGUCAUUUUAUUUGUUGAUUUGAAGUCAACUACUACCUCCAAACGAUGAAUGGUAUGCAUGAGCCCCUGAAGGACUCUUCUGGAUAACAUAGUGUUGCGCAUAUCAGUCUAAAUCUUAAUGAUUGACUUGUAUUUGGUAAUAAAAACAAUAAGUUUGCAGAAUUGUAACCAUGAAGCAACUUGUUGUUGCGUGUCUUGCUGGAAGUUGAGACUAAUCCUUCACGAUGAAGGACAAAUAUGUAGUAUUCAUGCCACUACAUUAAUCUAAGUCCAAAGCUCACUGCAUAAAACCCCUAUCUGUAAUGUGCGUAAGAUUUCCCAAAUAAAUCACCACAAUAGCAAACAUUAGCCACAACUGGAUGAUUGUGGUUGGGGAUUUUAUCUAUAUGCUUUUUAGAACAUCUCGGCAUUAGGGGGAGGAAUGCCCAUAUAGUAUAAUGCUUCAAUAUUCUAUUAAACGCACAAAAGUCAAACUGAAUCUAUCGUUCAGUGUGUACUCCUGUGUAUAUGGAGUUUGCCAGAAAUUGUUGAGGAGUAACCAUAUUGGUCUGAAUGCCUCUACCUGAUGUAGAUGUGGAUAUACCCGGGAUUAAUAUAAUAUCCACAUUUGACUUAUUGACAUUUGAUCUAUUCUCGGGGACGCCUGCGAAUAUGAUCCGUUGGUCUUAGUCAAAGCAUAUAUUCUAAUUGCAGAUUCACGUGGUCUGUAAUAACUCUCUUCCAAUGGACUCGCCCUGCUGGUGAUUUGCCUCACGAAGAGGUUCAUCUUGAUGAUGAAAUUCCUAGCAAUGCGCGCAAUAUCAUUGUGCUGGGAAUACGGAACAAUGAAUCUUUCGUUUUGGGAAAUGACGAAGAUCAUUAUUAAAUGUGGGAGACAAAUGUGUCGACACCUAUAUUGCCUCUAUAGAUUGCAAAGGGAUCCAAAACAAAGUCCUAGGCAUGAGUGCUUGAAGCUCUCUUAUCGGGUCAUUGAUAAAUGCAAUCGAGGCUGAACCAAUAAUCGCAAAAUGAAAGUCACGAGCUUGAAGUUCGGACAUUUAUGGGCACUAUUGAAAUAAUGUGUGGUGAAUGCGAUGGUUCAAGUGGUCUUGUGAGAGACCCAUCCCACAUAUGUGUUGAAUAAACACUGUUCCGCUAUGUAAUAUAUCUGGCAAAUGGCAUGAAUUAAAAUAUGCAGUAAUAGGAUUCUGAAGAUCCAUCAUGAGAUCCUAGGAGGACCCAUAUCUUUGAAUUAUAAAUAUGCAACAUAUAAAUCUCGUACCGAAUAAUACAUUCCUGACGAAUGAACACUCUCUUAUGUAGAGAGAAUAUCUCCUAGAUGAGAUUAUAGUUCCUUAAUGGAACCUUUCCAGAAGAAAUAAAGUCUAUGUUAAACACCAAAGUUUGAUAAUCCCUAUAAAGGGAUAAAGACCCAUACAGACCCGAAAAGGAAUGAGACGAGGUACCAACAGACUUGAAGUUCACUGAAUAAGCACAUGUGCAUUCCACGAGUUUUACUCAUGGUAUUUUCCAGUUGAUGUGGAAUUACGGUAUCCUCUAAAGCCCUGAUGGCAGAAACCUAUAAGGUUUAGGUGUUACUGGCAAAAUAUCCCCAUUGUGCCAGAAUGACAGACUAUAACGAUGUAUCUGAUCGUUAAAAAAUCCCUGAUGGAUUACGAUCUUUGAUGAACUUUUGUUACACCAUCAUAGAUGUUGCAAUGGAUGAACGCUUGGAGCGAUGUGUCAUAUUUAGAAUAUGUACUAUUGCAACUAUAUUAUCCCCUAAGUCCUAUUGAAGGACAUGCUAUUUGCUUUGCACAACUAUGUAUAAAUUGUGGUGUAAGAUAGAAAAUGAUAGCACCUAACCUCAUCCAUUCUCAUUAUUCCAGAUGAACAAUGAGACAUAUAUCUUGAAGAAUAUGCUUG
This 5206-nucleotide long non-coding RNA is filed under the name Zea mays. RNAcentral's name for it is "long non-coding RNA (ZMAY_LNC005077)". Lineage: Eukaryota; Viridiplantae; Streptophyta; Magnoliopsida; Poales; Poaceae. The record is from RNAcentral.